Molecule: ribosomal RNA, 190 nt
Filed under: uncultured bacterium
Lineage: Bacteria
Description: partial 16S ribosomal RNA
Rfam family: Bacterial small subunit ribosomal RNA
Source: RNAcentral
CGACUGCAUGAAGCCGGAAUCGCUAGUAAUCGCGGAUCAGAAUGCCGCGGUGAAUACGUUCCCGGGUCUUGUACACACCGCCCGUCACACCAUGGGAGUCGGAAAUGCCCGAAGCCGGUGGCCUAACCGAUAAGGGAGGGAGCCGUCGAAGGCAGGUCUGAUGACUGGGGUGAAGUCGUAACAAGGUACC